Molecule: long non-coding RNA, 1722 nt
Filed under: Anas platyrhynchos platyrhynchos (common mallard)
Lineage: Eukaryota; Metazoa; Chordata; Aves; Anseriformes; Anatidae
Description: lncRNA (ENSAPLG00000018335.1)
Source: RNAcentral
CUGUUUUUGCAACCACAGUUUGCCUUCAUUGAGCUGACAAACUUUUAAUCCUUACAUGGGUAGAGAUCAGAAAAUAUUUGUUGGUGUUCUGCCGUUACACGUUUCUAAACAUAUGCAGCCCUGUCUGUACGGGAAACUGUUCCAAAUCAAGCUAGAGCUGAGCCGGAACAUACCACCAUUUUUCUUGCAUCCCACAAAACUUUCAGUGUGAUAUUUCUGAAAUUGUGUGUGUGGAAAGGUAGGAGUGCCAGCCUUUCAUUUUUUCUUGUGGUGCUUGAACAAGGCGGCGGGCAUGGAGCUGAGAUGGAUAACCCUUUCCCUGUGCCCUGCUCAUGGGCUGUGCAUUUGAGAACAUUGCCUUUGGCUAUCUCUGCCAAGCUCAAAUGCUGUCAUCCACACGAGGAGAUGUCACUGCCUGCCUGUCUGCAGGAGUUAGCAGUAAUGACUUGGCCUGCAACACCGAAACUUCUCAGGGAUGCAGACUCAGCUUCCUGCAGACUCAGCUCCCUCCUCGCGUGCUCUGGAGCCUCCUUUUGGACCAUGUUGGCGUUGCUCAUGAUGGCCUCCAUCCCGAGUACCAAGGCAAAGCCAACACCGUCUCCUUCCAUCCCAGGGACCUGCAGUUCAGCAGAGUGAAGCAGCCCACUGGCUUUUAUCAGAGGCUGUGCACUUGGCAUAACAGCCAGGUCAGAUGCCAAGUUUGGGAGAGCAGUAGCUCGGCUCGUGUUUGAGUAAGAGACUGAAUGCCUUGUCUGAAUUGCCUCGAUUGUUCUCCAGGGAAACAUGGCCUCACCAGUGAGGUCCAUAUUGCUGCAUCUCCAAGUCAGAGGUCCCUCCUUGGAGGUCAUUAGUGUUUCAGGGUAGCAGUGGCAGUGCCCACCAGUUUGUUUCCAUUUCCAGGGCUAAAGCAAUAUGGCUUAGGAGCUGGAGAGGCCACAUCUGUACUAUCCCCACAGGACGUGGAUAAGUACUUUUCCUGAUAAGGUGCCUUCACAGCAAAGAGAAAAAACUGAUCUUAAAAUUCCUUAUAUCACUGGUGGGGUUUUGUUUUGUUUUGUGUGUUUUGUGUUUUUUGUUUUGGUUGUUGUUCUCCUGUGGGAAAACUAGCCCUGAAACAAUCUAAUUUACGACAUUCCUCCUCUGUAGUUUCAAGAGUUGCUGCCCUAAACACUUAUGCUCCAGCUUGAUUUAGGAAGUCUUGAGCGUAUGCAGUGAUGAAUUGCCUUAAAGCAUGGCCAGGCCCCCUCCCUUGCCCUGCUUGAUGUACGGGGCAUGCCUGCUUCCUCCUCCUGCUGUGCUAAAAGCACCGUCCUUCCAGGAUGCAGCCAUUUGGUGAAACCUCCUUCAUCCUUUGUGCUGAAAACAGUGCUGUGGAGUAAGAGUUAUCUCCUCCUGUGCUGUGCUUUAAAAGCAAGCCAAGCUCAGGCAACGUUAGAGGAAGAAACCAUGAAGUUCUGCUUCAGACACUGAAAUUCGGUGGGUUGAAAUGAAAUAGAUCUUAAUUUUGGUUUUGCUGCAUAAGCUACAUCAAAACCCUGAAGUUGCUGCUGCUUUACUUCCUGGGUAUGAGUACUUUUACUCUACUGAUUUAUUACUUUGCAAGCAGAAGCUAGUGUACCUGUGAGUGAGUUACCUUUGAAUUUUGAGCUCAGAUCAGCCUCUAGUGAACAGGCUUCCUAAUUAAAAGCACUUCCAACAGUACAUCUUUAUUAUGGUCCAGUC